GGCGCUGCCCAGCCCGGCCCAGCACGGCACGGCACGGCUCGCACCCACGGCGAGAGGCGCGCGCGCUACGCGACGCCACUGUCCGUCGCGUACCCUACCCUGCCCUGACCUGAACCGAGGACCUCCGCUUGCAAAUUCUGCUGAACGGCUGCACUGCGUGUCGAAGAAUUCUGCAUAACGCUGUCGCACGCCAUUUGCCGACACCACGGAGGGACGAGAUAACACGAGAGCUGCAAGACUGCAUUCUUCAUCUCCAGCGAUGAACAGAUCAAGUUGCCCAGUGAUCGGAAAAAUCUUCUCUAGCAGGUCAUCUUAAGGAAGAAGAAACCAACAAAUCGUGCACACCGGACAGAGUUGAACGAGGAAAACCACUUCGUCUCGUCAAAGUCUGAGAUGCAGUCGAUAACGUUUCUGCGGGUUCCUGAAGGAAGAUCUGCCGGGCGAAUCUAAACUCGUAGAGACUGAGUAAGCGGCGCAGAGAAAUUGGAUUUCCAUAUCAAAUCGAAGGCCCUCCAGAGGGGUUCGCCGGCCGCUGCUGACUGCAGCGCUAUCUGAGCCCCACCCGGCCCGGCCCUGCCC
This is a long non-coding RNA of Schistocerca piceifrons (Central American locust), 579 nucleotides long. RefSeq lists it as uncharacterized. The transcript is spliced from 8 exons. NCBI's taxonomy places the organism in Eukaryota, Metazoa, Arthropoda, Insecta, Orthoptera, Acrididae. The record is from RefSeq and is a predicted model, not a curated record.